Molecule: transfer RNA, 53 nt
Filed under: Lype reducta
Lineage: Eukaryota; Metazoa; Arthropoda; Insecta; Trichoptera; Psychomyiidae
Description: tRNA-Glu
Source: RNAcentral
AUUUAUAUAGUUUAUCUAAAACAUUACAUUUUCAAUGUAAAAAUAUAUUAAUA